This 345-nucleotide ribosomal RNA is filed under the name Rhizobium azibense. RNAcentral describes it as "bacterial SSU rRNA". It matches the Rfam family "Bacterial small subunit ribosomal RNA", at positions 383 to 746 of the family's 1533-position model. The record is from RNAcentral. Lineage: Bacteria; Pseudomonadati; Pseudomonadota; Alphaproteobacteria; Hyphomicrobiales; Rhizobiaceae.
CUGAUCAGCCAUGCCGCGUGAGUGAUGAAGGCCUUAGGGUUGUAAAGCUCUUUCACCGGAGAAGAUAAUGACGGUAUCCGGAGAAGAAGCCCCGGCUAACUUCGUGCCAGCAGCCGCGGUAAUACGAAGGGGGCUAGCGUUGUUCGGAAUUACUGGGCGUAAAGCGCACGUAGGCGGACAUUUAAGUCAGGGGUGAAAUCCCAGAGCUCAACUCUGGAACUGCCUUUGAUACUGGGUGUCUAGAGUAUGGAAGAGGUGAGUGGAAUUCCGAGUGUAGAGGUGAAAUUCGUAGAUAUUCGGAGGAACACCAGUGGCGAAGGCGGCUCACUGGUCCAUUACUGACGC